UUUCCGUAGGUGAACCUGCGGAAGGAUCAUUCAUAAUAAAGUGUUUUAUGGCACUUCUUAAGAAUCCAUAUCCACCCUGUGUGCAAUGUUAGAUCUCGUCAAUCUUGGCGAGAUUUUUAUACAUCAACUCAUUUUUUAACUAAUUUGUCUGAAAAAUAUUAUGAAUACUUAAUUCAAAAUACAACUUUCAACAACGGAUCUCUUGGCUCUC
Molecule: unclassified non-coding RNA, 211 nt
Filed under: plant metagenome
Description: partial contains small subunit ribosomal RNA, internal transcribed spacer 1, and 5.8S ribosomal RNA
Source: RNAcentral